Non-coding RNA from Acanthochromis polyacanthus (spiny chromis), 55 nucleotides. Ensembl annotates it as small Cajal body-specific RNA 16. The record is from Ensembl. Lineage: Eukaryota; Metazoa; Chordata; Actinopteri; Pomacentridae.
GCAGUUGCAGGUGUGAGCAUUCAUCCAGCUGUCUGAUGCUCAUGUAUGAUACUGC